Lagenorhynchus albirostris (white-beaked dolphin) is the source of this 2300-nucleotide RNA transcript. It is a transcript of the gene named serine carboxypeptidase 1, with no coding region annotated. Lineage: Eukaryota; Metazoa; Chordata; Mammalia; Artiodactyla; Delphinidae. The record is from RefSeq and is a predicted model, not a curated record. The transcript is spliced from 16 exons.
GUCCAGCCCGUAGCUGAUGCUGCCGCGCGGUAUUCGUCAUGGAGCUGGCGCCGCGGAGUUGUCUUAUGCCGGUGCUGCUGCUGCUCCCGGGCCUGAGCACGGGAGCUGUCAUCAGCUGGCCCACAGAAGAGGGCAAGGAAGUAUGGGAUUAUGUGACUGUCCGGAAGGACGCCCACAUGUUCUGGUGGCUCUAUUAUGCCACCAGCCCCAGCAAGAACUUCUCAGAACUGCCCCUGGUCAUGUGGCUUCAGGGUGGUCCAGGUGGUUCCAGCACUGGAUUUGGGAACUUUGAGGAAAUCGGGCCCCUUGACAGAGAUCUCAAACCACGAAGAACUACUUGGCUCCAGUCGGCCAGUCUCCUGUUUGUGGAUAACCCAGUGGGCACUGGGUUCAGUUAUGUGAACAAGAGUGACGCGUACACCAAAGACCUGGCCAUGGUGGCAUCAGACAUGAUGGUUCUCCUGAAGACUUUCUUUGAAUGCCACAAAGAAUUCCAGACGAUUCCAUUCUACAUUUUCUCAGAGUCCUAUGGAGGAAAAAUGGCUGCUGGCAUUGCUCUAGAACUUUAUAAGGCCAUUCAGCAAGGGACCAUCCAGUGCAACUUUGCCGGGGUUGCUUUGGGCGAUUCCUGGAUCUCUCCCAUCGAUUCAGUGCUCUCCUGGGGACCUUACUUGUACAGCAUGUCUCUUCUCGACGACCAAGGUCUGGCAGAGGUGUCUCGGGUUGCAGAACAAGUCCUGGAUGCCAUAAAUAAGAGACUCUACAAAGAGGCCACCGAGCUGUGGGAGAAAGCAGAAAUGGUCAUUGAACAGAACACAGACGGGGUGAACUUCUAUAACAUCUUAACUAAGACGUCUCCCACGUCUACCAUGAAAUCGAGUCUAGAAUUCACCCAGAGCCACAUAGUUCACCUUUUCCAGCGCCACGUGAGACACUUACAGCAGGAUGCCUUAAGUCAGCUCAUGAAUGGUCCCAUCAGAAAGAAACUCAAAAUUAUUCCUGAAGAUUGCUCCUGGGGAGGCCAGGCUGCCAGCGUCUUCCUGAACAUGAAGGGGGACUUCAUGAAACCCGUCAUCAGCAUUGUGGACGAGCUGCUGGAAGCCGGGGUCAACGUGACCGUGUAUAAUGGACAGCUUGACCUCAUCGUGGACACCAUGGGUCAGGAGGCCUGGGUGCGAAAACUGAAGUGGGCAGAACUGCCCAAAUUCGGUCAGCUGAAGUGGAAGCCCCUGCACAGUGACCCUGAGACUUCAGAAACGUCUGCCUUUGUCAAGUCCCACAAGAACCUGGCUUUCUACUGGAUUCUCAGAGCUGGACACAUGGGCAGCGCAUGACGUGGCAAAGUGAGAGAGAAGAAUCAGGGAGAGAAAGUGAGCAAGGUACAGGUCACAGUCCUUUAUAGCCGAAUCCCAGUGUGCCAUCUUAUCACCUUUGCCUAUUCUAUUCUUAAGAAGCAAGUCAGUAUGUCCUGCCCCGUUCAAGUGGAGGGAAUUACACAAGGGCAUGAAUACAGGAAGCAGACAUCGCUGAGAGCCAUUGAGAGACUGUCUACCAGUUCCCUGAGGGUUGCUGUGAGGUGCAUCUUGCAAUCAUGAUCAGAACCACAAGAGCUAAUCUAGCCACAACACUGGCUCCAGUAAGGGAAGAGGAGGCUCACCACAGGUAGCAGGGGCCCAGAUGUAGUUCACUGUUGCAGAAGUCUGGGGAGCAACGUCUUCAAUGAUAGCAAGAACAAGAAUUGUAUUUCUCACGAGGAGCUGUGCCCCUGACUUAGGGCCAUCUGUUGCAAGACUUGAACCAGAUCAGAUGCGAACCUGAGGAAGCACCUUGUGAAGUCCAAGGAUGAAGCUAACUUGGCAGACGGCAGAGCCAAGAGACAGAGAGAUGUAGAGAGUCCCAGUGCGAUGGCAUGUUUGAACCCUGGCUCGAACAAUGCCUUGUGAAAAUUAAUAAAGGGAAACCCUACUAAAAUAGUCAGGAGGCCAGAAAGGGGAGAUCUCAUGCACAUACAAUUCAGAUCCCAACCGGAAGAGAUGUACCUUGCGUCUCCAGCAGGAAGUGACAAUAUUUUAUCACCUCCAGAAAGAAGAAAAAAGAUUCUCUUUGCUUGGCAAGAGCUCAGCCAAUGAAAAGCCACUAUACUGGGAAACUUCCAGUUUUCCUCUAAUGGACAUUUUGUUUGUAAUAGUCCCUCCCAACUUCCCCUUCUCCUCUACAAAAGAGUUUCCUCUCCUUUGCUUUACCGGGACUUGCAUGUGGUUUUCCGUAAUUGCAUGUCCCAAAUUGCAAUUUUUUGCUGC